Molecule: RNA transcript, 2484 nt
Organism: Helianthus annuus (common sunflower)
Lineage: Eukaryota; Viridiplantae; Streptophyta; Magnoliopsida; Asterales; Asteraceae
Gene name: probable elongation factor 1-gamma 2
Exons: 4
Source: RefSeq, a predicted model, not a curated record
ACCCGUGUAUUUAAUAGUUCUAAAACCCUAAAUCUGCCACCGUCGCUUCUCUUCGUCUUCGUGCCCUGAAACCUUCCUUUAUUUUGUUGAAACUUGAAUCAGUUACCCUAGGAUCGAAGAGUGAAGAUCCGGCUUUGUUUUUCCAUUAAUCGCCGGUUCCAUUUGAAUCCUAAAACUGAUUGUUUUUUUUUUUUUUUUUUAGGAUUGAUGUAAGAUCUCCAAAUUUUGUUUCUCUCUCUUUCCUUGCCGAUUCAAGAAGAUUAGAUGUGGGCUUGAAUCCAUGGGGUAUAUGAUUAACCCCUGUUUGUAUAAACCCUAAGUCUCAAAAUUGAUCAACAAAUCAUACUUCUUUGCUUCGAUAAUUUACGAUUUCGGAGUGUUGUGAUGAAAUCUUUCUUCUCUGAUUGAAUCAUCUACCAUGUCACUCGAGGGGUGUUUAGAUGUGCGAUUAAUUUGAAAUCGAAUAAUCAGUUUUGUGUCAGCAUAAAGUAAUUAUGAUUUUCUGAUUAUCUAUAGUUAAAAUAAUCAUAUUUGGUGAAAAGUGUAAGGAAACUUUUGCAAGAAAAUUGGUUCAAGAUGAUAAAGAGGAUAGGGAUGGCGAUACUUGGCUUUAUUUCCACACAAUACUCCAUUGUUCCCACUUUCCUUCAAUCUUUCUCUUUCUUUAUCUCAAAAUCAAAGGCAAUCAACGAGUUUAUUUCAGCGAAUGAAAAUAUUACCAAGAGGGUACAACAUCUCAUCGAAGGUGAAUGGCAAAUGAUCUGGAGUUCACAAGUUGGUUUUCACAUGCCCUUUUGAAUAAUGAUAAGAUUACUUAUUUGCUCAUGUAAUAUUCUUCUUUUAUAUCAUUGCUAAUAGGUAAUUGAGACGUUUGCGAGUUGACACAAAAUUCGUAAAAAAAAUUUCUCAGAUGGAAAAAGAUAGAUGGAUAAAGAAUGCACCCACUUAUGUACUCUCAGAUGAGAUUUGCUCAAAAGUUCUCGACUUAUAUAUUUAACAUGGUUUUGGACCCAUAAUAUUAUCAUCAGAUACCAUAUAAAAACAAACUGAAAUAUCUAAUGAUGUAACUUCUGAUGAUAUUGAGCCAUGGGUGCUGCCGGGAUUUUAUUCCUCUCCUAUAUGACGUAUGCACAUAAUGCUUUAGUUCUAAAUGAAUUUCUUGACAAAAGAUGGAGUGUUGUACGUUAACUUUUGAUGACAUUCUUCAAUUUAAUAGAAAGCAAUGAUUUUACUUAUAGAAAUACAUGUAGAACUCCACGAUUGACUGUUUGAUAAGAUUAUCAUUGCACCUCAAUCAACUAAAGUCUCCUUUAUGCAACCCAAUAUCGAUCGGCGAAUUAAUGCAUCAAUAGUUGGGAAAGCCCUUCUCCAAUCAAGAAGUUCUUUUUUACAGAGGAGCACGGGUUCUCAAUAUACGGAAAACAUGGAACGCUUUGAUAUUUAAUCAUAAUCAACAAAAUCCAAAUAGUCUGGUGAAUGAAAUCAAAGCAACGGGGUAUCUUUGGUUAAAAAAUAGAUCAAAGUCAUUUGAGUUAUCUUGGUUGAUGAGUUGCAUUAUUUGGUUGCAGAUCUUUCACACUCCUGGGAAAAAUAUGAAUGUGAACAAGGCCAUAAUUACUAUAGAAUAUGUUGGUGUAGGAAUCAAAAUGGCGGCUGAAAAUUGUCAGAUGGGUGUUUCAAACAAGACUCCUGAGUUUCUUAAGAUGAACCCCAUUGGAAAGGUAUUGCCUUUUGGUUUUAAUCUAACCCUCACAAUUCCAAUAAAAUUACAAAACUUCAUUAAAUUUAUUAGAGUGUUACGAUUUUGCAUUGAUGUCGAUUCCUAUUCUUGAGACUCCCGAGGGUCCUCUAUUUGAGAGUAAUGCAAUUGCUCGCUAUGGUAAGCGAUAGUUUUAUUUUAACUUGUAAUGUUGGUUUCAUAUAGUGGCUUUUAUAUUUUCAUAUUGGUUGCUGCAGUUGCUCAUGGAAGUUCUCUGUUCGGGUCUUCCAAAAUAGAAUAUGCUGAGAGCUCUAUUGCUGGCUUGAAGAGAGGUUUCGAUGCUUUGAACAACUAUCUAGCAUCACACACUUUCUUGGUCGGUGAUGGUGUCACCUUGGUUGAAGAAGAAGAGGCACCGAAGUCUAAGCCGAAAAACUCUCUUGAUUUAUUACCUCCGAGUAAUAUGGUUUUGGAUGACCGGAAGAGGCUUUACUCUAACACUAUGUCUAACUUCUGUGAGGUUGCACACAAAGGUAUAUAUUUACAGAAAAAAGGGUGUUAAAAUGUAUGUAGUUUUUGGGUGGAAGCUUCAUUUGUGAUGCUUAUUAUACUGCCGCAUCCACAAGGUACUAAGCAUUACAUCUAUUGUACACUACUUAUAUAUAAUUGGUCAUGCUAUAAGCAUUACAUCUAUUCAGCAAAUGUUUAUGAUUUGUGUGACUUGCUGCUGUUGUUUGAUGACGAUUUUUAAUAAAAAAAAAGGCGAAUUGUAGGUUCUCCAUUUA